Myotis brandtii (Brandt's bat) is the source of this 175-nucleotide long non-coding RNA. RefSeq lists it as uncharacterized. The record is from RefSeq and is a predicted model, not a curated record. Lineage: Eukaryota; Metazoa; Chordata; Mammalia; Chiroptera; Vespertilionidae. The transcript has 3 exons.
CCUGCAGGGCUCUGAGGAAAGUGGGCAUUGCAUUUGGGAAAGUGCUGUCCAGUGCAGAAAUUACCAGUUUGUCAGUGGAAUGAGAUAAGAACAUCUGUCUCCUGCUAAGUAGGAGCCACAUUCUUUCAGGUCAGGAGACUGAAGAGAAUAGAGGUACUUAAUAAUUCCUCCAAAU